RNA transcript from Bombus huntii, 1609 nucleotides. It is a transcript of the gene named BRISC and BRCA1-A complex member 1-like, with no coding region annotated. The record is from RefSeq and is a predicted model, not a curated record. NCBI's taxonomy places the organism in Eukaryota, Metazoa, Arthropoda, Insecta, Hymenoptera, Apidae. The transcript has 3 exons.
AUGAGUAACACUGGCAGCGCUUCGUGUUUUAUUCCGGAUCUCAAGUCAUCAUACUCCGAUGAAGAUAACACGUUGGUGCGAAAUUUGUCAGGAAUGAAUUUACCUGAGAAAAUUCUAUUCGUAAUCGAUACGACAAGGGAGAGAAAUUGUACUCCUUUUAAACUUUCUACAGGAGCUAGCUAUAUGCCUCUGUUUAUGAUAAAACGAACUAUUGAAAAUUUUAUUUACAUUAAAUCUAUCAUUCAACAUAGUCAUGAAUAUGCAUUAAUGAUUUUGAAUUCUCACAGCUCUCAAUGGAUAUGCGAUUUUACCAAUAACACCAACAGCAUUGUUAAUCACUUGAAUCUUAUUAAUGAUGAUCUUCUAGAAGAAGAUAAAAAAUCAUACGAUUUUGGGCAAAUGUUUGAUGAAAUACAACGAAACUUACCUCUACCAACAAAAGAACAUGACACAGCUGUUCCAGCAUUUGUUGUCAGAGUAAUUUUAGUGUAUUCACGCUCCAACAGUGUACCAAAAUUUCAUAUUGAUAAAAAACCUUUAGAUACUCUUACAACAAAUCCAUAUUUUUUUAUAGAUGUAUUGUAUGUACAUGAACCACCUUGCUCAGAAAAUUUAUGCGAAGAAGUUUAUUCUGAAAUAGCAAAAUUGGAUACAACAAAUUUUUCAUACAUAUUAGAAGUAGGAAGGAACGCAGCAAAAUUGCAUGACAGUAUGGCUAAACUACUGGCGCAUCCCCUACAAAGGCCACCUCAAAAAGAUGUAUGUUAUGCAAUUUGUCCAUCUCCUGGUUCUCAAGAAACAUGUAAUAAUAUUUAAGUGUAUAACUUCUGUCUUCUGAAAAUUGUUAAAAGGAACAUUAAUAUUGUCACGCACGAAAUAUUACGACAAGGGAUGGAUAAAACAACAUUUUUUGAUUUAUCAUAAAUUUUAUAUCAAACUUUAUAAUCAUUUACAAAACAAUGUAACAUAACAUGAGAAUAUUCAUCAACCAUUCGCUCGCACGUAUUAUUAAAUGUAAAAACAAGAAGUUGUCCUUUUUAACUGGAACCAGUGUGAUAUCAUAUAAAGAACUGAAGAUAUAUAUAUACAUAUAUGAAUGUUGUUACAAAUCUUUGGUUUGAUUUGAAAGAGGAUUGAUUAUGUGUCAUAUAAAUAAAUAGCUUUUCUGUAAGUGAAGUAAUUCCUUUAAAUGAAACGCUAUAUUUAUGUAUGUGACAAUAUUUACUGAAACGAAUGAAACGAUAUGCAAUUGCCGUUGACAAUGAACGUGAAAUAUCUUUAAAAAGAGAUACAUACGAUUCAUGGGGAAUAGUUAUCUAUAUCAGAUAAUGCAUUUUAAUGUAUGUACUUUGUAAUAUAUUAUCUCGAUAUCAGAUUAUUCUUGUAAGGACAGUUCUUUAAUGUCUUCAGCUUGUUAUACGAUAUUCUACCGUUUUCCGUUAAAACAUAUACCCUGCAUAUCAAAUAUUACUUGGUAACACGAUUGUUUGGUGAUUUCAAAUAACCAAGUGAAGUUAACAUCUCACAUGAGAGAAUGUUACAUAUCACUUGUGUAUCACUUAUUUAGCUGUAAUGGGAAGAUUAAUACAGUAUAUAUAUUUACAAACGA